RNAcentral lists this long non-coding RNA (9940 nucleotides) under Populus trichocarpa (black cottonwood). Its description in RNAcentral is "long non-coding RNA (PTRI_LNC002791)". The record is from RNAcentral. Lineage: Eukaryota; Viridiplantae; Streptophyta; Magnoliopsida; Malpighiales; Salicaceae.
AAAUACAAAUACCAACUAGUUCAGAUCCAAGGAAAUGGCAGCUAGUUCAGAUUCAAGGAAAAGCGUUCAAAGCAUAAAUCACAAACAAAUAAGCUAGCUAAAUAUGAUUGAAGGUCUGGACAUAUCCAGUUCCUCGUCAACCAAGGAGCACAGCCAAGUGCCCCAGAAUUACAGAAAGUUCAAUAUUAUUUGUAAAAGAAACAACUCCAACAUGGAGAUCAACCACAUGAACUACUAAUUAAACAAAAAAAAAUAAAAACAACUUACUGCCUUGACCAUAUCCUUCUAAUCAGUCAAACCCAAGGCUCUUUCUUAUCUCCAUAACCAACUCGUGGACCUUUCCAGGUUCUGCAAGAGACUUGGCUACACUAUCUUUUUGCAGGCACCUUUUAGCCCAUGCAAUGAUCUUGGGACAUUGAGCUUCUAUGCUGAAGUUUCCGAUGGUCUCAUAAGUAGAAAACCCGCAACAGAAAGGAAGAAAGGCAAUAUCCACAUACCCCAGAGUCUCACCCCCAAAAUAAGGCUUCUCUCCUAGUUCUCCCUCCAAUAACUCAAGGCAUUCAAAGAAACCCUUCUUUGCCGCCUCCAUUUCUUCUCCUUUUGUUGUCCAUAUCUUCCUAGAAAGAUCAUGUAUCUGAAGAUUCACAGCACUUCAUCACAAAAAUAAUAUAGCAGAACACAAAACCUAAGACGUGCACAAACAAUAUUGUCUUUAAGGAUAUUUACUUUCCUUAAAGAUAUUUACCCACAUAAAAUUAUUAUCCACCAGGAUUCAAUAGGUUCUUCCUCGAAAGGAGGGAUGCAAAAACAACAAGGCAAAUACCAACAAGAAAAUCCAGUAAGUUUAAGUGUUUUAAGUUAAGUGGUAUUUUGUGUUUUUCUAAUAUGAGAUAUAAAAAUAUUUUUACUUUAAAUACUUCAAUUUAAAAAAAAAAACCAAAUAUUUCUGAUAAAAAAUAAAAACAUUUUGAAAUAAUCUCUGAAAACGUUUUCCAAUAUAAAAUAAUUUUUUUUUAAAAUAACCUCUAAGAAUUCAUUUUUACAGCACAUAAUUGAUAUUACAGUAACAUAUAUCGCAGUAGCAAAGGAAUAUAUAUUUGUCCUCACGCAAGCAUAGAUACAUGUAUCGAAGGGGGACCAAAGAUUUAGCAAGAUUAAAGGUAUAUAUAUCCAUACCUUUUUAUCAAUAAAAUCAGCCCAGAACAUGGACUGAGCUCUUUCAUAAGGAUCAGAAGGUAGCAAAGGAGUCUUGCCCCUCCACACAUCAUCAAUAUACUGAACAAUAAUAAGGGACUCGCAAACUGGUUUUCCUCUGUGGACGAGAACUGGAAUCUUCUUGUAGACUGGGUUCAUCUGAAGAAGCAAUGCACUCUUGUCCCUCAAGUCCUGUUCACUGUACUCAUACUUGACUCCCUUCUCUGCCAAUGCUAUUUUAACUCUCAUGCCAAAAGGGCUUGCCCAAAAAUCCAGCAGUGUCACCUCAUCAGCCAUUGUUGUUGUGAAAAAGAGUAAAACUGAAUCACAGAUAGUUUUUUUCUCGCCUUUCAGAAUGGCUGUGCUCUUGAUAGUGGAAAGUAGAAAUCUUUAUAGCAUAUCUGUCUUUGCAGAAAGAUGUAGUGGCGGAAAUAAAUAAGUGGAAAAUGUGCUGUGCUAGUGCCCAGUGGGCAAUUGGAUACCAUAACGCAUUUUCAUGUUUGUUCCUUUCUAUGUCUUCAACUACAUCACACCAACCGGUCAAUGAUUCCUGAAAUCUUAGAGUUAAUUACCCUGACAAAAUGAGAUAAUUAUUCAUAAAUUUGAGAAAUUAUCACCGGAAUUCAUAUUAUAUACGAUCAAUAUAUAUUUUAUUAGGGGGAUUGUGUAGGGAAAAUAAAAUAUAUGAUAACGAGAGUAUUUCUUAAGUGAUAUUUUUUUUUUAUUAUUAUUCAAAGUAAGCAAUAAUCUUGCCAACAAACUUUUUCAGUUUUUGCCUGAAGAAAACUAAGGAUAGCUUUGGUAAUUUCAAGUCAAUUUAUAUACGAUUUGUUUUUGCCAUGGGUCCAUAUAUCAGUGUUAUGGGAAGCUCGAAUGUGUGGAAACCACCAAAUCUGGGCUCGAAACUUUUUAAAAAAAAACUUGCAAUCAUUUUCCUGUGAACAUCAAAUUAUUGUCAUUUUCUUGAGAAUUCACUAUUCACGUGUCAACAACCCUAUUCUUGUCUGACCUGAUAACUAGGAUUUUGCUGUGUUCAAGGUAUAAUGGCCAAGGAGUAGCUAUUUUGAGAUUUCUUUCAUGCUUAAAUUUAGAAAAUUAAGGAUGUAGUGGGAUUUAGGAGGAGGGACAUAGCACGUAUCUCCAUGUUGUGCAGGACCCAUCAAGCCCUUUCUGAUUUUGGUUGGGGUAUGCCUAUGAAGGUGGAGAUCGACUCCUUGCAUUAAUAAGACAGGAUCAAUCUCUAUGCAAUAUGGUUAUUGGUUUCAUCAAUGAUUAUCCGAAAAAAAUCUCUAUGCAGGAGAAGGCAGAUGGAAGGGGUGGAAUUGAGAUUGGCUUUGUUUUAUUAAAGCAGAAAAUGGAGAUCUUCAAUUCUCUAUUUGUCGAUGGUAGUACUCUUGUCUUGAACCAAGACCAGAUUGCUAGUGGAGAACAGCAGUAAGAGAACAGCAAAUGUAGGCAAAACAAAUAUUUAACAGUAGCUAUCAGAUUUCAAGCCCGUUCGGCUACGCAGUACUUCUGAGAUGCAAAUUGUGCUUAAUUCGCAUGAAAAAGCUUUAAAACUAAAAUAUUUGUUUUUUUUCACGCGAACCACAAUUUACACUGUGUAACAAAGCGAAGCCUAUGAUAAUCGUGUAGCAGUAUGAUAAUUGUGUCAGCUUAUUUUACCAUUUACGAAAGCCAAGAUGAUAGAUAUUCAUGACUUAAUUAUGAGCAACAGAUGUUAUCUACUAAUCUCUAAAUUAUAUUAUUUUCGAAAUAUUUAUUAUUUUGUGUUAAUUCAGUUUCGUAAUAAUUAAUAUUCACUUGAAUAGGAUAACAUUUGAGACUAAAUUGAAGACUUAUCAAAGAAUUGGGGACCAAAUAAAAACAAUUAUUUAAAAUCUAGGGAAAAAAUAUAUAUUUGACGGGUGUAAUGCUCGUGACAACGUAUACGGAAGUUGUGGCGUGAUGGUGGCGCAUGCAGCCUUCUUUGAGCUUUGAUGAUGCCAGAAUUUUCUUGUCAGGUCUUCCUUUCAGGAUAACACAUGUCACCCUUCAAGUCCUGACAUGGCUAGUAACCUUUCUUUCUUCCUCUCUUAUCUCCUUCCCUUCCUUUCCCUUCCCUGGUUUUCAAGCAACAACCGAAAUUAAAAAAAAAAAAAAAAACUUUGUGGAUUGUGGUAGGAAAAACCCGUGAGUUGUAGUCUAUUUUGUAUUGUAAUGUGAUUGAACUACUUAAAACUUGGUAUAAGAAAAUUAACUUGAGGAUAUAUAUAUAUAUUGAAUGGAGAGGAUUUGUGUGCGUUGAGUGCCCAAUCUAAUAAAUUCUCAAACCUUCCCUUUUCCGAGCAAAAAUUAGCACAUCAAAUACAAAUACGAACUAGUUCAGAUCCAAGGAAAUGGCAGCUAGUUCAGAUUCAAGGAAAAGCGUUCAAAGCAUACAUCACAAACAAAUAAGCUAGCUAAAUAUGAUUGAAGGUCUGGACAUAUCCAGUUCCUAGUCAACCAAGGAGCACAGCCAAGUGCCACAGAAUUACGUACAGAAAGUUCAAUAUUAUUCGUAAAAGAAACAACUCCAACAUGGAGACCAACCACAUGAACUACUUACUGCCUUGACCAUAUCCUUCUAAUCAAUCAAACCCAAGGCUCUUCCUCAUCUCCAAAACCAACUCGUGGAGCUUUCCAGGUUCUGCAAGAGACUUGGCUACACUCUCUUUUUGCAGGCACCUUUUAGCCCAUGCAAUGAUCUUGGGACAUUGAGCUUCUAUGCUGAAGUUUCCGAUGGUCUCAUAAGUAGAAAACCCGCAACAGAAUGGAAGAAAGGCAAUAUCACAUACCCCAGAGUCUCACCGGCCCCAAAAUAAGGCUUCUCUCCUAGUUCUCCCUCCAAUAUAUCACUCAAGGCAUUCAAAGAAACCCUUCUUUGCCGCCUCUAGUUCUUCUCCUUUUGUUGUCCAUAUCUCCCUCCAAUGUCCUUAAGGAUAUUUACUCACGUAAGGUUCCUUAAAGAUAUUUACCCACAUAAAAUUGUCCAUCAGGAUUCAAUAGCUAGGUUCUUCCUCGAAAGGAGGGAUGCAGAAACAGCUAGAAAAUUAAAUAAUAACAAGAAAAUCCAGCAAGUUUAAGUGUUUUAAGUCAGGUGAUAUUUUGUUUUGUCUUUAAAAAUACAGGUGUAUAUAUAUAUAAUGUUUUUAUCUUUAAAAAUGCAGGUGUAUAUAUAAACUUAUAGCCCAUAACAACAAAUUAAGAAGAAAAUAAAUAGAAAAAUUAAAAUAUGCAACAGCUAGCUAGCUAGAAAAUAAACGGUAGAAUAUAUAUAAUUAUAUUUUUUUAAUAUGAAAUAUAAAAAAAAUUUUACUUUAAAUACUUUAACUUUUUUAAAAAAAUUCAAUAUAAAAUAAAAAUAUUUUGAAAUAAUAUCUGAGAAUUCAUUUUUACAUCACAUAAUUGAUAUUACAGUAACAUAUAUAGCAGUAGCCAAGGAAUAUAUAUUUGUCCUCACGCAAGCAUAGAUACAUGUAUCGAAGGGAGGCCAAAGAUUUAGCAAGAUUAAAGGUAUAUGUCCAUACCUUUUUAUCAAUAAAAUCAGCCCAGAACAUGGACUGAGCUCUUUCAUGAGGAUCAGAAGGUAGCAAAGGAUCGAGCCUUGUCCCUCCACACAUCAUCAAUAUACUGAACAAUAAUAAGGGAUUCACACACUGGUUUUCCUCUGUGGACGAGAACUGGAAUCUUCUUGUAAACUGGAUUCAUCUGCAGAAGCAAAUCACUCUUUCCGUUCAUCAAGUCCUGUUCACUAUACUCAUACUUGACUUCCUUCUCAGCCAGUGCUAUUUUGACUCUCAUGCCAAAAGGGCUUGCCCAGAAAUUCAACAGUGUCACCUCAUCAGCCAUGGUUGAAGUGAAACAAAAUAUCACUAGAUCAUAAAUAGUAGAAAGCAAGACUUUAUAGCAGACUUGCUAUCUUCAUCUGCAGAGUGUAUGUGGUUGUGAUAAAUCGUGGAAAAAGUUGCUAAGCUAUAUGCUAAUCAAUGAUAAAGUAAGCAAAAAUUAUAUUUAGAAUAAUGUUUAUUCACGACCAAAAGUAUUCCACCCAGUUAUUAAGGCCGGUUUGUGUUUCUUUAAUAGAAAGUGAGUUUUUUAAAAUUAUUUUUAAAAUUUUUUUAUGUUUGUUUAUUAUUAGAAAAAUUAAUUAAUAAAAAAUAUUUUUCAGCUAAAUAAAAUUUAAUUUGGUUUUCAGAAAAGUAUUUUUUUAUUUAGAAAGAAUAUAUUUUUCAGAAGUUAUGAAAAAUUUAAAAAUAUCAUAUUAAUUAUUUGCUAAUUAUAUCAAAUUUGAUUCUCAAACUUUUGAUUGUUAUAUAUUUUGUUUUGAACUUUUUUUUUCAAUUUCAUCCCUUAAAAUUUGAUUUAAUUUGAUUUUUAUAUUAACUUUAAUCUUCAUAUUUAUGAUUGUUUUUUGCUUUUCUCUUAUUUUUUUUAAUUGAAAUUUUUUAUCUAUCAAAAUUGAUCCUUAUUCUUUUGAUUGUUAUAUUUAUUUAAUUUGAAAUAAUUUAUGAAAUUAUAAUUAUUAUUAUUUUAAUUUCAUCAUCUUUCAACUUUUUUAUCUGUUAGAUUUGAUUUCUAUUAUUUUGAUUGUUAUUUAUUUUAUUUGAGAUAAUUUAUGAAAUUAGAUUUUUUUUUUCAAUUUCAUUCUCAUUCAACCUUUUAAUUUAUAAGAUUUGUUACUCAGUAAACUUGAAAAAAAAAAAACAUUAAUAAGUUAUUUUUCAGCUUAUUUUCCAUGAUAUAACAAAACACUGGAAAGUGUUUUUCAACUUUUUUUCAUGACACUACCAAACAUCAAAAAAUAAUUCAUUUCCUAGAAAUUUACUUUUCAAAAAAACCAUUUUUUAAAAGAAAAUAUUUUCCAACAAACAAACAAGACUUAAAACCAAACUGAGUUUACCACCCAGAAGGUUAAAUUUCAAGUUAUAUGAGUUAACUCGUAAUAGUUUAAAAUAAUUUUUUUUUUAGUUUUAACAUCUUAUAUGAAAAAUUAAAAAAAUAAUUUAUAUAGAUAUAAACUAUAUAUAUUGUAAACUAUAAAAUUUUAAAAAUUAUUUUAAAAUACUUUUUAUUAGACAUUAAAAAUAUAAUAUAUUAAGAUUAUUUCAACCGUUGAAAGUAUUUAAAAAAAAAACUUAUCAACUUUUUCCUUUUGAACACACACACAGACAAAUACACACACACACACUUUUAAUAUCAUAUUAAAAAAAAUAAAAUAUUAUUUUAAUGUUUAUAUAUAGAGUAAACAAUAACGUGAAAUUACACUUUCUUUUAUGUUUAUUGUAUAAUAUAUAAUGUAUAAUGAAUAGAAGGCAUAUGGUAAAUUACAAUUCACUCCUUGAGAGGUGCCCGUUUUGUUAAUUAACAACCAGAACCUCAUAUUUCUUUUAUUUAUUUAUUUAAGCACAACUUAUAUAAUUAAAAUUUGAUUCAAUCAAGGAAAUACGAAACCAUCAAUUAAAUUUUAAUUAAAAAACAUUUGUAAUUAAAAUUAUUCAAAUUUUAGGAUUUUAAAUGAAAAUGACCCUAGAUCUUAAAAAUCAAUUGAAGAGGUUCCAAAACUUUGAUUUAAUGAUGGUUUUUUUAAAAAAAAAAAAACUAUCUUAAAGCAACGUCUAGUUGAUUUGGUAAUGAUGGUAAGAUAAAAUCAAGAAUAUAAUUCAAUACUCAAGAAGUAAUUAAAUACUAAUUUAACAUACUUAAUGUAAAUAAAAAAUUUAAUAUUUAAAAAAUAUAGGAUGAUCUUUAUUUUAAUUAUAACCACAUAUUUGAAUGUCUUGAUAAAAGAAUAUGAAGUUAUAUUUUUGUUAUUUUCUUGUUUGUUUUUAUAAUAAUAAUUGGAUUACAAGCCUUCUAUUUAAGUUGUUGUUGUGUGUUUUCUUUUUCGUUCGAUCUUUUUUAAAUAGAAAAAAUUGUAAUAAAUUGUCUGGUAACCACCCAUCUUCUUCAUUCCUUUUUAUUCCAAGGAUGUGUGACUUCAAGUGCUCUCUUUCAUUUCUUCACAUAUCAUAUCUGUUUCUUUUGACAACUCUGAGGUUUUUCUAUUAUGUAUUCUAAUCUUCCUUUUACUUAAUCAAACUUUGUUCUCCAUUGUGUAUUAUUAGUUCAACUUGUAACCAAAUCUUGUUUUUCUUAGGCCCUAUUUGUUUUUGUGAAAUUGCUUUUGAAAAAAAUUAAUUUUUUUUAUUUGCUUUAAAUUAAUGUUUUUUUAGUGUUUUCAAAUCAUUUUGAUGUGCUGAUAUCAAAAAUAAAUUUAAAAAAAAUAAAAAAAACAUUAUUUUAAUACAUUUUCGAAUGAAAAACAUUUUGAAAAUCAACCACACUCUAAUCUGGUUCAAAUUUAUCAAACAUUUGUCAAGUCUAGUCUUUUCUUAGGUCUGUAUUUCUUGUCUUUAGUAUAACAUCCAUGCAAUGAUGUUUCUUGGAUUAUCUCGUCAAACUCGUAAACUAAAUUAUGAGAUCAUGAUAACCUAAUAGAAAAAAAAUAAAUCACAAAGCUCAUUUUUCUUAAAGAAAAUAUUAACUUGCGUUGACUUUUCAAACCUAUGACCUGGGUAUUAGAUUGAAAGCACCAUAACUGGUAAAAACCAUGAAAUUUAAUUCUCAACCAAUCAAAUUAUGAAUGAUAAAAUUCAAAAAUAUAAUUUUAAUUAUACAAAAGAAUUAAAAAAAUAGCAAUUAAAAAAACAAGGAUCGAAUUGAAACACAAUAAAUUUUAUUAAAGGAUGAAAUUGAAAACAAAUCAAUUUUUUUUUUAAAAAAGACCAAGAAUAAAAAUUAAAAAUCAAAAGAAUGAGGAUUGAAGUGGAAAUCCUCAUAAAUUGGAGGACAACUCUAAAACUUUGCAUGAUUGUCGUAAACUUUGACCAAAAAAGAGAGAAAAGAGAGAGAAAAAAAAUUACUUAUGACAAACUAUGCCACCAAUAACAAUAUGCGCCGCUCAAGAAAAAAAAAGGACACGACGACAGUUCUAAUGAUACGGUCUAUAGUGUUGUUUUUUUUUUUUUUGGUUUCUUGUUUUAGCUUUUGGUGAUUUAAAAAUAAAUCUAAGUUACUAAAUUAUUAGAUUAAUUUUGUAAUCAUUAAAUUAACCCCUUUUUUUCAGUGUAUUUAAAACCCAAUAUAAAUUAAGUUUCGGUUUCUUAAAUUAAGCUAUUGCACCGGAUUUAAUAACAAUCAAAUGGAUAGGUAUAAUUAAUGUUUGCCAAAGAUCAACGUGGUGGAUUGAUUGACACUCGUUGAUUGAGCGGCUUCUGGGUUGCCACGCACUACAAUAUUGUUGAUUCUUUUUCUUCGAGCUGUCUAUGGUUGUAGCGUUGGGGAUGGUAUGUUAGGGACAUUUAUCAACUUUUCUUGACAGGGAAGACUGCGUUUUAAAAUUAUUUUUUUUAAAAUUAAUAUAUUUUUUAUGUUUUUAAAUUAAUUUAAUGUGCUGAUAUCAAAAAUAAAAAAAUAUUAUUAACAUACUUUUAUGAGUGAAAAACAAUCACAACCACAUUUUCAAACACGUUAAUAUAAUGAAAUUAAUGAAUAUCUAUAUGGAAUUGAUGGAUAUUUUAUGGAUUUAAUAAAUAAUAAAUAAAAUAUUAAUAUUAUAAAAUUCAAUUCAAAAUUCCUCAAAACUUAAUCCAAAUCAUAUAUUUAUAUUAUAUAAACACUUUAAUAUAGAUAUAUAUAUAAUAUUUAUCAUUUUAUUAUUUAAUAUAGGUAUACACACUUCAAUAUAUAUAAUAACUAUUUUGUUUUUUAUUGAUCAGUAAAUAAUAAUAGAUAAUAAAUACUUAUUAAAUACCUCAAACUUGAUAAAUAAUUUAUAGAUAUUUAAAUUUUUUAUAUGAUGAAUAAUAAAUAAAAUAUAAAUAUCAAGAAUUUCAACUGGGGUACCCAUUGACAACCCUAGUUAUUGACUGUAGAUUUUAUGGGAUCGGUUCCUUCAAUGAAUAAAAAGUUUGCAAUUAUGCAAAAGAAGAGAGCGUUACUAUUUUAUAAAAAUCUCUCUGGCUAUGGAAUUAUACUUUAUAUUCUUUACUCAAGCUUUAAUGAUGAUGAUGAGUCACAGCCUGCAGCUCCUUUCCAGGAUGAUCAGUGAUCUCAUGCAUGCAGCUUGGAGAAAAAGAAUAAAUGUUGCAGAAAGUUGUUCACUGCCAACCAGAUCUUGACACAAGUUUCAUUAAUACAUAUGUAUUUAUAUCAUAACCACCGACUUGAAGUUCUACUUUACAGGGAGAAAACCACAUCCUAAGUCGGGCACGGCGAGGUGCCCUCUCGGACUAUAAGCACAAGGCAGGCACAGCUAAGUGCCCUCUCAGACUAGAAACACAAGGCAGGCACACCUGUCUGCCCUCCUUAUUUAAAACAUAAAUCACUCAGAACACAAGUAAAACUUCUUAACAGGAAAUGGCACAUGCCUGAUCUGCAUGUUGUUCUUUCUUCUACUCAAUACCAAACUUCUUCAUCAGCAUCAGAACGAAAUCAUAGACCUUUUGUGGAUCUUCAAGGGCCUUGGAUACAGUCUCUUUCUGCAAGCACCUCUUACAGUAAGCAAUCAUCUUCGGACACUCGGCCUCUAUGUUGAAGUUUCCGAUGGUCUCAUAGGCAUAAAACCAGGAAUAGAAAGGAACAAGUGCUAUAUCAACGUAGCCGAUGGUCUCGCCCCCAAAGUAAGGCUUGUCUCCGAGCUCUCCUUCCAUCAACUUGAGGCUGUCAAUGAAGUCCUUCUUGGCUG